CUGUUUCUGACUUUAUUAAUCUCAGGAGGUCUCUCUUCUUUUUGCUCUGCUGCUUCAAGCCUUUGGCAUCCAGUGCCUUGUACUUAAUGAAAGUUUGCAACACUCUGAGCAACUGUUCUCAGUUCUUCUGCCUUAUUUCUGGCCUCCGUUGCAACUGUUUUGACCUAGUGAAGGCCUAGACUUUCUCAGACAGAUUUCUUUUAACUCUUCUGCCCUGACUCCAGUCUUCACUGGGAUGCUGCCUUGCACUUAGGGAAGGUUCACAUGCCUCAAGGAUCUCUCUCUCUCAGAUUUCUUGACUUUCCCUCAGUCUUCAGUAUAGUCCUCCUCUGUGCCUGGUGAAGACCUGUGGUAAAGUGCUGGCAGAGCUGCCGGCUUCCCCUUGAAGGAAUAGGAGUAGACCUGCUGAACUAUCACAUGAGAGAAGAGGCCCAAAAGCUUGCACACUACAGUCAAGCUGGCCCUUAAAGAGAUGGACCUAGAAGAUGCUGAGCCAGAUGUACUCAAUUACUUCUCCAAAAUUCAUCAAUUAGAACUGCUUCUUGCUGCCGCCAUAUGAAGAAGGACGUGUUCGCUUCCCCUUCCUCCAUGAUUGUAAGUUUCCUGAGACCUCGCCAGCCAUGCUGAACUGAAUACAACAUGUUUAAGACCACAGAACAUCUGCAUAGGCUGUAAAUUUCGUUGAAUGAUGGAUGCAAAGAUGGAAGACAGAUGGAUAGAGGAAAAGACAGAAUCAGAUACUGGAUGAGUUAGUACUGCUGCCUGUGCUUCAGAGCUGUCUUAUUACCACAAGGCCGGCAAGCAUCAAUGUCCCCACAUCCCCCUCUGCCUCCCCCUGAAAUGUACCGAUUUAUAUGAAAAUUAAGAUUACAAAUUAAAGCCUGGCUAUCCUGGAGUUUUCCAGUUCAUCAGCCAUCCAAUAAAAAUGAUGUCAAGCCUGUAUGCAUAAUUCCCGGAAGAUUACUUUCGUCCUUACAGCUAAGCCCUGUCCCUGAUAUGAAAGAUCUCUAUCCACUUUUAUUGAAAUAAAGAACUAACAUCAUAAUCCCAAUAUUGAGGUAUAAUCUUCAUUAUCUCCUGACCCUCUUGAGGUUCCCCCAAUCUAUAUUACUUCAGAUUUGGUUUAUGUGUAAUCCUUAUGUAUUUACUUUUAUUGAGAUAGGAUUAAAAACUAAAAAAAAAGCUUCAAAAAAUCCUUAUGAUCUCAUGAUUGAGUUUCAUUUCACCAACAAUCAACUAAUGUGUUAGACUGAGUUUUUUUUUAAGUGCUUCUUAUAGUUAUAUAGUCCAAGCUUGAAAAGGCAUUAAUUGGUCCCAUGUGUUUCCUGUUUCAUUACAUGAAUUAUUUCCAAUUCAACUUGGUUUGUGAAAUAAUGGCAUCAUCUUCUUUUCCUAUUAGAAAAGGUGUGGGAGGGGGAUGUAUGAAAAGAUAAGCAUACACAUAAAAUAAUCCAAAGUAACUUAAAUCUCUUUUCUUAGGAAGUUUUGAUUCAUACCUAUAGUUAAUUACUGGUAAACCACAAUCUACCAACCUUUUCUUUCCCCCAGAGCCUUAAUAGCCUCUGGCUAUGCCUCGGGCUGUUAACUACCAAACUAGUCAUUAAUGCUGGUCAAGAUGAUUUCUUGGAGAUUAUUGCUCAUUUAUUUUUUUAACAGACAAAACAGAAUUUGCUUUGCACAUGGACUAAAAUAAUACUUCAGCCAUUUUUUUCCUUUCAAAAACAUAAACACUGAUGAAAAUCACAUUGUACUGUGGUAUUUUCAAAGCAUUUCAUAUGUUAUUUUAGCUGUAUUUUCCAACUGAAAACUGGAUUUGCAAUGCUCAGGAUUUCCCUGGUAAUCAUCAUGUUUGCUUAUUGUUUGCUAUUAUAUUUGGUAAAACACAUCUUGAUUAAGAGAUUUGAUGUGUUCUCUAUUUACCUGUGCCUCUUAUUUUUACCUUUUGUCCAAGGAUAUGUUAGGAAGAUAUUUGUUUUUUUAGAAUUGAAAACAGGGUAUGGAAAUAGAAAUACUUCACUAUUGGCAUAAAACAGCACUGGAGUGUUUUCUUCUUAACGUAGUAUUUAUUGUUUGAAAAGAAUUCUUAUUCUAUUGGUGUUUUUUUUUUUUCUUUUUUUUUUUUUUUUUUUGAGAUGGAGUCUCGCUCUGUCGCCCAGGCUGGAAUGCAGUGGCACAAUCUCGGCUCACUGCAACCUCCAUCUCCCGGGUUCACGCCAUUCUUCUGCCUCAGCCCCUCCAGUAGCUGGGACUACAGGCGCCCGCCACCACGCCCGGCUAAUCUUUUGUAUUUUUAGUAAAGACGAGGUUUCACCGUGUUAGCCAGGGUGGUCUUGAUCUCCUGACCUCGUGAUCCGCCCACCUCAGCCUCCCAAAGUGCUGGGAUUACAGGCGUGAGCCACCGCACCCUGCCUAUUCUAUCGUUAUUGAUAUAAAAUGGGAUUCAUUAUAAUUUUUAUUGGCUCAAUUAUUCCUCAUCUGUGAACCACUCAUUUUCAUUCAUUCGUGCUUUUACUUGAGCACCUGCUAUUGCCUGGGCACAUUCAGAGACAAAUUAGAGAAUGGAGAAAAAACUGGAAAGACAAAAACAAUCUAUGAUCACUCAGUCAUCUUUCUGCCAAAAAAUAAUAUUCAAACAUAAAAACACGUAUUGGAAUGAUUAGGCUUAUUAAAAUGUUUACUCAACAACUAAAAAGGAAGUGGAUGAAACAAUAUUUUGGUACCCUUAAUAUUUUCUGGUUAUCAGUUUAUUUCUGUGAAUUUCCUUAUUUUACUCUCGCAACAACUCUACAGUUCCUUAAAGCAACCUUAUACUUACACCUAUUUUGUGGAUGUGGAAAUUAAGACUUUAGAAUUGCUGAAGAUAUAGAAGAAACAAGAAGGUACUGGAAGAAAAAUGCAGAAAAGAAAGCUUCAGGGGUUCAAAUACAACAAUGCUCGUUUACUUAGCACCUUAAUUCCCGCACUUGCUUAUAGACAGAAAAUGCCUCCUUCCUUUCUUUUGAAAGCUGUGGCUCAAGAUGGCAGGACACCCCACAGAGUCCCAGUUUAGAUCUUGAAACAGGUAGAGUAAGAAUGGUUUUGGUUAGGUAGGUUUAACCUACCAACUGGAGGUUUAUUUGAAUUACAUCUAAAUAUUAUUUAUAGGAGCAAGUCUGCCAGUUAUUAAUAAUUUAUGAAAGUUGCUUAUUACCAGCUAUAAUGUAGGUUUUAUUGACCGAUAGAUUUAACUAUGGGAAGAAGUAGCAGAAAGAGAAAAGGAAGUGAAAAGGUGAUAUGGGAGUGUGGCUUAUUUUGAAAGAAUUCUAGUUUUGGCCAGGGUGUAUAAUGUAAGCUAGAAAAUAAUAAUACUGAGCACCAGGGAUGAGUGAAGAAUUCAUUUAUGUCUUUGGCUUAGUCCAGCGCUAUUUGACUUAAGACAGUGUGUAUGGUGUCCUGGAAAGGUUUAUAAUUUAUAAAGCUUUGAAUUCUCAGGGAUAAGCCAUGAAUUACAGGGUGAUUUCAAAAGCUUUACAUUCUAAGAUAAGCCACUAUUAUGCUUUUUCCUCAUUAAAGACAGGAGCUUCUGUUUUUUAGCAAAACUGACCCAAAUGUCUUUUAAUAAGAAUUGUACUGGCAUGCAAAAAUUUAAACUAUAAAUACAGUCUGUUUUCAUUAUUCAGGGUACCCAAUUAUUAUAACAACUACUUUACAUUAUGAAAAUAAAAUUCAAGUCAGUAAUAAAAAAUACUUUUUUUCUUGAAC
RNAcentral lists this long non-coding RNA (3741 nucleotides) under Homo sapiens (human). Its description in RNAcentral is "non-protein coding LINC01088:23". Lineage: Eukaryota; Metazoa; Chordata; Mammalia; Primates; Hominidae. The record is from RNAcentral.